UUUUUUAAUCUUUUUUUUGUCAUAAGAUAUUAUUUAAGAGUCAAACGAGCCAAUUUUUAGAAAACAUUGUUUACAAAAGUGAUAUGUAGUGGUUCCGCACGAAUUUUUCGUUCCAAAUAGUUUGCUUUGACAUUUGCAUUAUGAGGGAUUAAGGAUAAAGAAAAAGAAUAGAAUUCUUCUUUGUCAUUUUGAAACUCUUCCAAAUAUACUGAAAAUGCUGGUCAUUCGGUUGGGGAAGACACUAUCUUCACCAGGUCUAAACAGUCUGUAAAAAAGCUCUUUCUUGGUUGUCGGCACCAAUCAUACACUUCAUUGCCCAGAGUAAAGCUUCGACUUCUAUAUGGAGAGGAAAAAGACUUCUAAGCCGAUUAGCAGCUCCCAUAGUUGACGCCCCUCCAUUUAAUGAUGUACAUAGCCACCCUCCCAUAGUUGAUCACUUUUUCAAUCUUUUUUCAUUUUUUUACUUGCAUAUAACGUUUUUGGAA
Molecule: small RNA, 485 nt
Filed under: Arabidopsis thaliana (thale cress)
Lineage: Eukaryota; Viridiplantae; Streptophyta; Magnoliopsida; Brassicales; Brassicaceae
Description: ATSL154920
Source: RNAcentral